Molecule: transfer RNA, 71 nt
Filed under: Marmota monax (woodchuck)
Lineage: Eukaryota; Metazoa; Chordata; Mammalia; Rodentia; Sciuridae
Description: tRNA.Ala
Source: RNAcentral
UGGGGUGUGGCUCAAGUGGUAGCACUUGCCUGGCAUGUGUGAGGCACUGAGUUCGAUCCUCAGCACCACAU